RNAcentral lists this transfer RNA (69 nucleotides) under Cavia porcellus (domestic guinea pig). It matches the Rfam family "tRNA". Rfam says of the family: Transfer RNA (tRNA) molecules are approximately 80 nucleotides in length. Their secondary structure includes four short double-helical elements and three loops (D, anti-codon, and T loops). Lineage: Eukaryota; Metazoa; Chordata; Mammalia; Rodentia; Caviidae. The record is from Rfam by way of RNAcentral.
AGGGAUUUAGCUCAGCAGCAUAAGCACCUGCCUUGCAAGCAGGUGGUCGAGUUCGAUUCCCAGUACCGA